Molecule: long non-coding RNA, 3286 nt
Filed under: Sus scrofa (pig)
Lineage: Eukaryota; Metazoa; Chordata; Mammalia; Artiodactyla; Suidae
Description: lncRNA (ENSSSCG00060026611.1)
Source: RNAcentral
UCUGGAUAUCAAGCAAAUCAAAUUACGCCGAAGGCCCACCAGACACGCGCAUUAAUCUUCGGGUAGCCCAGCUACACACCUUUGGGGGCGGGGGCGGGGGCGGGGGCGGGGCGCGAACCUGGCCAGCCGCUUCCCCGGCGGUGGGAUGGACCCGGCUGGGAGGCAGGCCCGGGAGCCGGAGGGGGCGUGGCCACUGUGUCCCCCAUCCCCCCACUUCCACACCGCCCCCCGAGGCCAGGAGCGAGAAGGACCCCGAAGAGCCCAAGCAGAUUUUGGCAGUUUCCUGCCAGAAUCACCACUUCUGGUGAAACGGUGGCUGAAAGGAAAAACAUGCAGUGCUGGCAACACGCAGAGCCAACUCUUUUCAUCUGGAAGUACCUUCAUGGAAAUACCGCCACCUGAAUGGAAACACAGUUUGACCACAAGGUGCCACCAGAAGUGACUGGGGUUGAUGGGGCCUAAGUCUUAGCCUGCCCCACACAUACUUGGUUCUCAAACACCCACCCACCCACCAGACACACUCUGCUCGACAUGGCUCUGGCUAAGGCAGGUCUUCUGGAAGCUUCAGCAUCUUAUCUCCUUUUGCACGAAGCCUCGGGCCUUUCCGGGGAAGAGCUGCUACAGUGGGGAAUGAGAACAAGAUGUGACUUGCUCGUUUACCUCCACCGUAAACCUCUCUUAUUUGAACAACCAUGUCUACAGGAGCAGCUUACCUAACCCUCUGGACUUUAGUUUCUUCUUGGGCAAAGUAGAAACAACAUCCACCUUCAAGGGCCGUUGUGCCAAUUAAAUGAGAAAACCUCAGAGUCGUGUUUGACCCAGAAUAACAGGUCGGUGGGCUCCUUCCCUUUCUGGGGUCACCUAACAUCUUCCCCGCAGGUGACGUGGGGCGAGGAGUCCAUGAUGCUGAGAAGACAAGAAGGCAACCAACUGUGGACAAGAAAGGGUCCAGCCAAGGUCACAAGCCUUCCCCAGAACGGGAUCGUGCACAGAGGUAAGACACUCAGGAAGAGAGGAGUCAAGCUGCACACUUGGCAGCUAAGCCUCCAGCUCUGAGGCAGUGGAGACUCCGAAUGCUCGUCAAAAAGCCUUGAUGUAGAUUUUUUUUUUUUCAUUCCACACAUUAAAAUGAAAAUGACAGCAUUCACGCUAUCCCCACACAUGCCAGUGAAUAACUCACUUCAUGAUGGAUAUGGGUCCCUGUGACUCUGGUAUAGACAACAAAGCAAACCAGAGAUCAGAAGUGAAUUGGGGUUUAUGGCUAAUAUGGGAUACUCAUUUUAAAAUGGCAAAAUGGGGGAGGUCCUGUUGUGGUGCAUUGGAAACAAAUCCAACAAGGAUCCAUGAGGACUCAGGUUCGAUCCCUGGCCUCAGUGGGUUCAGGAUCCAGCAUUGCCAUGACCUGUGGUGCAGGCGGCAGACAAAGCUUGGAUCCUUUGUAGCUGUGGCUGUGGUGUAGGCCGGCAGCUACAGCUCCAAUUCGACCCCUAGCCUGGGAACUUCCAUAUGCUGUGGGGGCAGCCCUAAAAACAAACAAACAAAACCCUGCAAAAUAAACUAACCUUAGCCAUUUUAGCUCUGUAUACAUGUGCAUGAAUCUUCCUAAGGCACUAAAAUUAAUGUUUAAACUGCAUAUGUGUUGAGAAAAAGACAUUUGUUCUCACUGAUCUAUUCUGUCUCAGGGAAACGGUCAUAAGGCUCGAGCUGGCAAGCUGACCAUCGCUCGGUUAGACACCGCUGCCGGCGAGAAAGGUGAACCAGCCAGCCUCCAUCCAGCCACUCGUGGCGUUUUUUGAAAUCCGUAUUAUAACAUGGGAAAUGCCUACAAUGUAGCACUAACUGAAAAGGGGACCAAACAGCAAACAUCAAUCUGGUUACAACUCUAUUAUUAAAAUAAGCACACGGACGUUCUCUCGUGGUGCAGCGAGUUAGGGAUCCCGUGUUGUCACUGCUUGGGUUGCUGCUAUGGUACAGGUUGAUUCCUGGCCCAGGGAACUUCUGCAUGCUGUAUAUACAUAAUAUAUAAUAAGCACACAUAAAAAAUACUGGAAGGAACUAUGCCAAAUGUCAAUAGUGAUUUUCUUUGGGUGGUAGAACUACUAAAAUAUUUUUCUUCUUUUUACCUUCUGCCUUUUUUAAAUGGCAGUAUUAUUUACUGACAGCAAAGUGCACAGGUUUUAAGUGUACGGUGAGUUCUGACAGGAGUUCCCGCCGUGGCACAAUGGGUUAAGAAUCCAAAUGCAGCAGCUUGGGUCACUGCAGAGACUCAGGUUCGACCCCUGGCCCAGUGCAGUGGGCUUAAAGGAUCUGACGUUGCCACAACUGUGGCGUAGGUCACAGCUGCAGCUCCGAUUCCAUCCCUGAGCCGGGAACUUCCAUAAGCUGUGGGUGCAGCCGUGAAAAAAAAAAGUUCUGACAAAUAGGUAUACCAACACCGAUAUCCCCAAAAGUCCCCUUGUGUGCUUAUCAAUCUCCCUCUCUGGCCAGUGGCUACUAUUCUGAUUUCUCUCUCCUCAGAGGGAGGAAUUAAAGAUACCUCCUGCCCAUUUUAGAGAUAGACGCGACAGGUUUUUGGAUUGGCCUCUGACCUGCUUUCGUGCUGCCUUGAGACUUUUUUUGAAGCGGGGAAGGAGCUAUUGAGGAAGAAGCCAGAAGCCCCCAGCAGGAGUGAGCACCGGGGCACCAGCAUCCCGCAGGAGACGUGUAUGAGCAAAAAUGGGGCCGAGAGAGGAGGCGGUGGCGGGGGACGAGCUGAAAAAGAGCUUACAAAUUGUGAAGAGAAAUCAUGGCAUUUAUUUCUAAAUGACAAGUCUUUAUCUUCCUCGCCCAGGCCUAUUUGUUGACAAGCCAUUCUGUCACAAUGUGUUGGUCAGACCCAGGGAGGCCCGGUGUUCUGGCGGGGCAUCAGGCCUUGAUCUUGUCUCCGGUGGAAUUCAGGAGGCUCCCCUGUAAGCAAUCAGCCUCCUAAUGGGCAGGAGGCACCUCUGGGAAUGGGAAUUUGACAAGGCUUGUCAAAGCUGUCAGGCAGCGGCAGAGUCUUUCUCAUUCUCCUGUUCCCACCCCGGGAGGGGAACAGCUCCGUGGGCUCUGCCAGUCCUUGCAGGACAAGAGCUGAAACCACAAUGAAACGCUGCUCCGACAUGAGCGGGGCAGACGCAUAAAUCCGUCACAUUAAAAAACAUCUGGAUGAACAAAACAGGAGCAGGCCAAGUGCACAGUGUACCUCGGGGCUGUGGGAACAGCCUAUGGGGAGCCCAGCUGAGUGAAGGACACCCCUUCCCCCCCC